Molecule: small RNA, 80 nt
Filed under: uncultured Flavobacterium sp.
Lineage: Bacteria; Pseudomonadati; Bacteroidota; Flavobacteriia; Flavobacteriales; Flavobacteriaceae
Description: Flavo-1 RNA
Rfam family: Flavo-1 RNA
Source: RNAcentral
UUUAGCCCCGAUAGAAGUGGAAAUCCUUUUGUGUCUCGUUUCUUUAACGAGACACAAAAGAUUGAAACGGAUAGCGGGAC